UACGUAGGAUGCAAGCGUUGUCCGGAAUUAUUGGGCGUAAAGAGCGCGCAGGCGGUGUAUCAAGUCAGAUGUGAAAGAGGCCGGCUUAACCGGCAAGGGUCAUUUGAAACUGAUAGACUAGAGUGCAGCAGAGGAUAGUGGAAUUCCCGGUGUAGUGGUGAAAUGCGUAGAUAUCGGGAGGAACACCAGUGGCGAAGGCGACUAUCUGGGCUGCAACUGACGCUGAGGCGCGAAGGCUAGGGUAGCAAACAGG
RNAcentral lists this ribosomal RNA (253 nucleotides) under uncultured bacterium. Its description in RNAcentral is "partial 16S ribosomal RNA". It matches the Rfam family "Bacterial small subunit ribosomal RNA", at positions 524 to 776 of the family's 1533-position model. The record is from RNAcentral.